This 253-nucleotide ribosomal RNA is filed under the name uncultured bacterium. RNAcentral's name for it is "partial 16S ribosomal RNA". It matches the Rfam family "Bacterial small subunit ribosomal RNA", at positions 524 to 776 of the family's 1533-position model. The record is from RNAcentral.
UACAGAGGUCCCAAGCGUUGUUCGGAUUCAUUGGGCGUAAAGGGUGCGUAGGUGGCGCGCUAAGUCGGGUGUGAAAUUUCGGAGCUUAACUCCGAAACUGCAUUCGAUACUGGUGUGCUUGAGGACUGGAGAGGAGACUGGAAUUCAUGGUGUAGCAGUGAAAUGCGUAGAGAUCAUGAGGAAGACAAGUGGCGAAGGCGGGUCUCUGGACAGUUCCUGACACUGAGGCACGAAGGCCAGGGGAGCAAACGGG